GACGAACCGUGCGAACGUUGUUCGGAAUCACUGGGCUUAAAGGGCGCGUAGGCGGACGAUCAAGUCAGGAGUGAAAUCUUUCGGCUCAACCGGAAAAGUGCUUUUGAUACUGGUCGUCUUGAGGGAGAUAGGGGCAUGUGGAACUUCCGGUGGAGCGGUGAAAUGCGUUGAUAUCGGAAGGAACGCCGGUGGCGAAAGCGACGUGCUGGACCUCUUCUGACGCUGAGGCGCGAAAGCUAGGGGAGCGAACGG
Molecule: ribosomal RNA, 252 nt
Filed under: uncultured bacterium
Lineage: Bacteria
Description: partial 16S ribosomal RNA
Rfam family: Bacterial small subunit ribosomal RNA
Source: RNAcentral